This 327-nucleotide long non-coding RNA is filed under the name Phoenix dactylifera (date palm). RNAcentral's name for it is "long non-coding RNA (PDAC_LNC015180)". Lineage: Eukaryota; Viridiplantae; Streptophyta; Magnoliopsida; Arecales; Arecaceae. The record is from RNAcentral.
GGAGAUUUGAUUUUGUAAAUGAGAGGGACCUAGCUCUUAUGUCUUAUAUUCUUCAGGACACCCCGAUCAACUUCCCCAAACUCAUCUAUAGGUAUAUGUGUGAGCCCCUAGAUAGACCUAGGCUCACCCUCCCAUACGGCAUGAUUUUCACCCUUUUCUUUAGGGAGUACGAGAUUCCCAUUCCUGAGAGGGAACCCUCUCGUGCAUUGCGAUGGACUGAUCGCUUGUGUACGGGGACCAUGCACAGGAUGGGGUUUCGGAAGAGAGAAGGGAUCUGGGUUAGGAAGUCUACCCUCACCGCUCAGACCACCAGACCUUCACCCAGUC